ACCGGGAGAAGCAUCGCGUCGCUGCCGCUGUCCGAGCUGUCUUCGUCGUCGCCGAUUCCCUUCAUUGCCGCCGUUGUUAAUGAGCCCAGUCGCCGCCGAUCUGGUCUGAGGGUGAGGGAACGCGAACAGAAGGGAAGACGGGGAGCCACCGCCGCUGCUGGCUGAACCCCCCAGUGCUCCAUAUGGCCUUUGCCAUCUGGAACCGGCUUUGCCAUAGCUGAAAGUUGAAAGUACAGCAACAAAUAAUAGUUCAUAAUUUGCACCCCUUACCGAGGAGUUGUUGUUUAGGGCAUGCAUGAUACCUAUGCUACUGUGUGGAGGAUUUAAGCCAUAUGGUGUCAUACUUCUUUGCCCUAUUUUCUUCAGCCUGGUGCCUAAUUGGAAGUUUUACUGCAUCAUUGGUUUGCAGCACAUUUAAAUCAUUUCAUGGAGAUUUAUGCCAAGCAAAACAACAGAAUAAAAAAGGUUGUUAUGGUUAUAGGAUAUAAGUGCUUCCGUCGUCAUCUCUUCUCGCAAGCAGCAAAAUGUUGAAGAAGCUGCAGAGAAACUUAGGGCUAAAGGAAUUGAAGUUUUGACCCUUGUUUGCCAUGUCUCCAACAAUCAACAGAGAAAGGAUUUGAUUCAAAAAACCGCACAGGUCACCCUUUUCUAUUCAUUUUUAUCGAAUGCAUUAUCCUUUAUUAAAAUUUGUUUGAAUGCUGUUGAAUAUGCUGUUAAACAUUACAUAAGUGUGGAAAUAUAGAUGUGAUUGUGUCAAACGCAGCUGCAAAUCCUUCUGUUGACCCUAUUUUGCAAACCAAAGACUCUGUUCUUGACAAGCUUCACUUGCCCUGCAAAGUGUUCCUUGAACAUCUAACAAAACUGCAUAUAUCUUCUUGUUUUUAAGUCUUAUAAUUAUUCGUAAUAUGCUGCAUAGGCCUUGGCUGCUGAGAUGGCCCUAAACACUCGUGUAAACUGUAUUGCUCCCGGUUUUGUGCUAACUAAUUUUGCCUCGUUUAUUACCAGUUAUCAAUCAUUAUCUGAAUACUGUUAUCAUGAUUAAGUUGGAAAAUACAUAGUACAAAUAUCGUUGUGUUGGAGCUGAUAGUUACACAUCUAUUACGGAUAACAGAAUCUAAGUAACAGAAUUGAAAAGCCUGUGACUAACGGAUUUGACUGUCACAACAGAAUUGACAGAUUUAGUUAUAAUCAAGAUAUUUAGUUGUAUGUUUUGGUUAUAUUCUUUUGGCUAAGCACUAGUGAUUUAUGGUCACUGUAGAAAAUUCAGAGUUUAUUUGAGGAGCAACAAUCUCAUACAGCAGAAUCUACAGAUUGAAGUUUGUGAAAAGUUCAUGUAACCUACUUUCCAGGAGUGCUGAAAUGGUGACCACAUGCUACCUUGAGGGCUCAAGAAUAUUUUG
Arachis ipaensis is the source of this 1400-nucleotide non-coding RNA. The record is from RefSeq and is a predicted model, not a curated record. Lineage: Eukaryota; Viridiplantae; Streptophyta; Magnoliopsida; Fabales; Fabaceae.